RNAcentral lists this ribosomal RNA (166 nucleotides) under Herpotrichiellaceae sp. Its description in RNAcentral is "partial large subunit ribosomal RNA". It matches the Rfam family "Eukaryotic large subunit ribosomal RNA", at positions 99 to 261 of the family's 3401-position model. The record is from RNAcentral. Lineage: Eukaryota; Fungi; Ascomycota; Eurotiomycetes; Chaetothyriales; Herpotrichiellaceae.
CGGCAACAGCUCAAAUUUGAAAUCUGGCCUCUUUCGGGGUCCGAGUUGUAAUUUGUAGAGGAUGUUUUGGGUACCGCGCUGGUUUAAAUUUCUUGGAACAGAACGUCAUAGAGGGUGAGAGUCCCGUCUAGAACCUAUAGCCGCGUCCAUGUGAAACUCCUUCGAC